Molecule: non-coding RNA, 285 nt
Organism: Myodes glareolus (Bank vole)
Lineage: Eukaryota; Metazoa; Chordata; Mammalia; Rodentia; Cricetidae
Source: RefSeq, a predicted model, not a curated record
AGGAAUGAGAUUACACGUCCAAACUGCUGUGUCUGAUUUCUCUCCUUUUCACAUCUGUUCCAGGCCCUUGCAUUUAUAAGGCUUGUUCACUGAACCUGGAGCUCUCCACCAAUGUUGCGCCUUCUGACAGGAGCUCCACAGACCCGCCUGUCUCCACACACCCCUGCACUGAGAUGACUGCUACAUACGUCCAUUUCUGAGGUUUUCUGUGGGUGAUGGAGAACUGACCGGGAUACUGAACUGUUCUAUGGGAUUGUGAAUUGCAGGCUAGUUUUCCUUUGCUUU